Long non-coding RNA from Mauremys mutica (yellowpond turtle), 788 nucleotides. RefSeq lists it as uncharacterized. The transcript is spliced from 3 exons. NCBI's taxonomy places the organism in Eukaryota, Metazoa, Chordata, Testudines, Geoemydidae. The record is from RefSeq and is a predicted model, not a curated record.
GACACGGAUGUUGGGGUUACUGCUGGCAUGAGUGAGAAUGAGACAACUCCAUGUGAUGUGGCCCUCUUGGUUACUACAGCAGGAUGCGUCCCCUGGAGGCUUCUGGUGUCUCACUAUCUCCUUUGGCAUCAGUGAAAAACAGGAUUAGUAAGGGACCACCAGGGAGCAGCAGAGAGAAUCAAGAAAACUGCCAGUGAAAUGAAAGAAGGCUGCUUUCUGAUCUGAGGAACCACUGCCCUGACAAAUCCUAUCAAGAUCUGUGCCAGGCACUGAAUCAGUUUGCAAGACAAAAGAAGUAGAAGCCCAAGCCUGUAAGCUGGAAAAGUACGCCCCCCCGGCGGACACCUGAGAGCGAAGGGCUACGAGGUGCAGAUGGACGCCCUGAUCGUCGGAACCCUGGGCGCCUGGGACCCCUGCAACGAGCGUGUGCUGUGGACCUGCAGGAUCGAUCAAUGCUACGCAUGGCUCAUGUGGCGCCUCAUGGUCUCAGACACCAUCCGAUUGUCCAGGGACAUCUACAUCGAGCACAUCACCGGCCACCGACAGUACUAGGAGGCGUGAGCCGGAGUAACAUUGUUCUUCGACUACGAGAAAGGGACCAAGAGACUUUCUCCGUUGGAUCAUAUGAACUGGAACCAUAAACUCCCUGAACAUUAAAUCUCACCAAAUGAGGGUCAAUCCAGCCUCACCAUCGUAUCCACUCAUUAUACUCCACACCCGAAGAGAACCACUUUAUGAACUUCAUACCCUCAUAUCUCAAUGUCUGUACUUUGACCCAUCAACCUUUU